UACAGAGGGUGCGAGCGUUAAUCGGAUUUACUGGGCGUAAAGCGUGCGUAGGCGGCUUUUUAAGUCGGAUGUGAAAUCCCCGAGCUUAACUUGGGAAUUGCAUUCGAUACUGGGAAGCUAGAGUAUGGGAGAGGAUGGUAGAAUUCCAGGUGUAGCGGUGAAAUGCGUAGAGAUCUGGAGGAAUACCGAUGGCGAAGGCAGCCAUCUGGCCUAAUACUGACGCUGAGGUACGAAAGCAUGGGGAGCAAACAGGAUUAGAAACCCCUUGUAGUCC
Molecule: ribosomal RNA, 274 nt
Filed under: uncultured prokaryote
Description: partial 16S ribosomal RNA
Rfam family: Bacterial small subunit ribosomal RNA
Source: RNAcentral